ACUCCUACGGGAGGCAGCAGUGGGGAAUAUUGCACAAUGGGCGCAAGCCUGAUGCAGCCAUGCCGCGUGUAUGAAGAAGGCCUUCGGGUUGUAAAGUACUUUCAGCAGUGAGGAAGGUGGGAUAUGUUAAUAGCAUGCAUUCAUUUUGACGUUAGCUGCAGAAAGAAGCACCGGGCUAACUCCGUGCCAGCAGCCGCGGUAAUACGGAGGGUGCGAGCGUUAAUCGGAAUUACUGGGCGUAAAAGCGCAUGCAGGUGGUUUGUUAAGUCAGAUGUGAAAGCCC
This 283-nucleotide ribosomal RNA is filed under the name uncultured bacterium. RNAcentral's name for it is "partial 16S ribosomal RNA". It matches the Rfam family "Bacterial small subunit ribosomal RNA", at positions 335 to 603 of the family's 1533-position model. The record is from RNAcentral.